UACGUAGGGUGCAAGCGUGGUCCGGAAUUAUUGGGCGUAAAGGGCUCGUAGGCGGCCAACUAAGUCAGACGUGAAAUCCCUCGGCUUAACCGGGGAACUGCGUCUGAUACUGGAUGGCUUGAGUUUGGGAGAGGGAUGCGGAAUUCCAGGUGUAGCGGUGAAAUGCGUAGAUAUCUGGAGGAACACCGGUGGCGAAGGCGGCAUCCUGGACCAACACUGACGCUGAGUGAGCGAAAGCCAGGGGAGCAAACGGG
RNAcentral lists this ribosomal RNA (254 nucleotides) under uncultured bacterium. RNAcentral describes it as "partial 16S ribosomal RNA". It matches the Rfam family "Bacterial small subunit ribosomal RNA", at positions 524 to 776 of the family's 1533-position model. The record is from RNAcentral.